AUGCUUCUGCACAUCGUUUCUCUGAUUCAUUUGAUAUUCGAACGUGAUCAGUUACAGUCGCUGGACUGCGUGGAAUCAAAUCUCUGUCAUUUAAACACAGACUUAAGCCAUUCAAGAGCGAUGAAAGGACCAGAAGUGGUCGACUCGAGAAGUCGUUUUCGAUUUAUUGAGUCCUGUCUCGGCUUGAUGGGCUGUUUGUGUAUCAGCUAUGCGAUUUGGACACCUCGGUGGCUGGAUGACCGGGGUCUGUGGACCUCGGGGAAUGAGUCCAGACUGGAUGACAGCUGGACCACUGAAGACAUUGCUAAAGCUCUGGAGGCUGAGAGAGUGUUUGCAGUGGUGGCUUUCCUGAUGUCGGUGAGCUCUGGACUGCUGUGUCUCAUGUUUGCUCUCUGCUGGACAUCUCAAACGGUGCGUUCCUACUCCAACACUCGCUCGCUGCUGAUGGCAGGCCAGGUGCUUGAUCCGACCACCCUGCUGCUGUUCACACUAGUACCUACAGGGUUUUUCUUUUUUCUCAGCUGGGCGCUUUUUACACAUGAACAUAUUGGUGAGAUCAGGGAUGAUGUCAGUCGACUCGGUCCGUCCUAUUGGCUGGGAGUGUUGGGUUGGGCUUCUCUAUUGGCCGUGCUGCCUGUGGUCUUCCUGGCAGAGAAGUUUGUGGUUCCCGACAUCCUGCCGGAGUUAAAAAAUGCUGCCGAAAUGUGGUGGAAGGCUCCUGAGGUUGCACACGCACGAUCGUUAAGUGAGGGUUGCUAUCGUUCACAGCAUAAGUCUCAUCCUGACUUCAGGAGGUAUUUGUCAGUGCCUUGAACAAGUGGAAGAAGGUAGCAAGGAAAUACAGAGAAGAGACUCUAGUCUCGCUGGUCUUCUAGCCAAAUAUAUGAGCUGAGCAUGUGCCUCACAACAGGAGUGAAGGACCUGGAUGAGAAACCUGUAACUGCUCUCUGCGAUGUUAGACACAAAGCUACAGAUUAUAAUGUUCAGUGUAUUCAGAUGUACUUGGAAGAGGAUGCCCAAAAAUGUGGUUAAUGGACUACUAGGGUUCACUAUCUAAGUGUGAAAUAUAAAGCUGAAAGGAUCUUGAAGUUGCAGAGAGGCUAUUCCUCUAGAACUUGUCAUAGUCGUUGUCUGCAGCUGUUAUUGUGUGAAUUAUAUACAGUCACUUUCAGGGAUGCAGACUUAAAUGCUUUUCAAAAUGCAUUUUAAAUAUGCUAAUUAUUAACUAAAACAACAACAACAAAAAACACUAAAAUAGUUUAUAACUGAUUGGGUAAAAUAUAAUAAAAUUACUAAUAAUGGAAACGGGUAGUACUUAACUAAUGCUUCAAACGCAAUCAUUAGUGCCAUAUACAAGACAUUAAAAUGUUUUUUUUUUUUUUUUUUUUUUUAAGUUAUUGAAACAUGUUCUUGUAUAGAAAAACAAUUAACUUCUAAGAUCCACUUGACCUUUCCCCUAAAAGUGGUGAUCAUUGAAUUCCAGAUUGUUCUGCUUGUUCUCAAUCUUCCAGACAAUACUGAGUCAAUUAGUCAGAGCACUUUUAUACUACUAACACUUAGUGUAAUAGGGACUUCCAGCUGCUUAAGCAGAAUUCAACACUACUAGGUAGUGCUCCAGUUGUUGUUUUUUUUCUAUCCGUCUUUUUUUAAGUGCAAGCAGUGCUCUCUACUGGCGAUAGUGCAAAGAGCAUCAUGUUCUAUCCUGUAUUUUUAAAGCUAUUUAAAUAAACCUUUUUGUACUGUUUUAAACCAAUAAAUGAAAUGGUUUUCAUAUAAAGUUGAGUCUCUAUCUAUCUAUCUAUCUAUCUAUCUAUCUAUCUAUCUAUCUAUCUAUCUAUCUAUCUAUCUAUCUGAGACCAUAUUGGAGGAAUGUUUUGAAAAUUACUUUGUUUUUAUUGUUUGUUUUUCAUUUUCAUCUUUCAGUAAUUUUGUUGUUUUGUCUUUAUUAAAUAUAUAAUAGAUGUGUAAAAUAUUAUUUUUAUUAUUUUAUUAGUGUUCCUGUGGCUCAAAUGGUAGAGCAAUGCAUUAGCAGCGCAAGGUUGUGGGUUUGAUUCCCAGGGAACACAUGUCAGGUAAAAAAAAAAAAUGUUAGCCUGAAUGCACUAAGUCUCAUUGGAUAAAAGCAUCUGCUAAAUGCAUAAAAUAAUCAUUUAAGUUUCUGUUUUAGUACUUUUUUUUUUUUUUUUUAGUUUGGCAUGGAUGGCAUCAUUUCUAUUUUUAAUUUCCAUGUAUUUUAUUACUUGAAAAAAAUAUAUUUUAUUGCAACUACUUAAAAUGAUGUUUUAAGUGCAG
This 2292-nucleotide long non-coding RNA is filed under the name Carassius auratus (goldfish). Its description in RNAcentral is "lncRNA (ENSCARG00000044193.1)". The record is from RNAcentral. Lineage: Eukaryota; Metazoa; Chordata; Actinopteri; Cypriniformes; Cyprinidae.